Molecule: ribosomal RNA, 253 nt
Filed under: uncultured bacterium
Lineage: Bacteria
Description: partial 16S ribosomal RNA
Rfam family: Bacterial small subunit ribosomal RNA
Source: RNAcentral
UACGAAGGGGGCUAGCGUUGUUCGGAAUUACUGGGCGUAAAGCGCGCGCAGGCGGUUCUUCAAGUCAGAGGUGAAAGCCCAGGGCUCAACCCUGGAAUGGCCUUUGAGACUAGAGAACUAGGGUACGGGAGAGGUGAGUGGAAUUCCGAGUGUAGAGGUGAAAUUCGUAGAUAUUCGGAAGAACACCAGUGGCGAAGGCGGCUCACUGGCCCGGUACUGACGCUGAGGUGCGAAAGCGUGGAGAGCAAACAGG